This 943-nucleotide ribosomal RNA is filed under the name uncultured bacterium. RNAcentral's name for it is "bacterial SSU rRNA". It matches the Rfam family "Bacterial small subunit ribosomal RNA", at positions 522 to 1472 of the family's 1533-position model. The record is from RNAcentral.
AAUACGGGGGAUGCAAGCGUUAUCCGGAAUCAUUGGGCGUAAAGCGCCUGUAGGUUGUUUAAUAAGUCUGUUGUUAAAGACUAGGGCUCAACCCUAGGAAAGCAAUGGAAACUACUAGACUUGAGUAUGAUAGGGGUAGAGGGAAUUUCUAGUGUAGCGGUGAAAUGCGUAGAUAUUAGGAAGAACACCGGUGGCGAAGGCGCUCUACUGGAUCAUUACUGACACUCAGAGGCGAAAGCUAGGGUAGCAAAAGGGAUUAGAUACCCCUGUAGUCCUAGCCGUAAACGAUGGAUACUAGAUGUUGCGUUUAUUAUGCAGUAUCGUAGCUAACGCGUUAAGUAUCCCGCCUGGGGAGUACGCUCGCAAGGGUGAAACUCAAAGGAAUUGACGGGGGCCCGCACAAGCGGUGGAGCAUGUGGUUUAAUUCGAUGCAACGCGAAGAACCUUACCAAGGCUUGACAUACUACAAAUUUCUUUGAAAGAGGAAAGUGCCUUCGGGAAUGUAGAUACAGGUGGUGCAUGGCUGUCGUCAGCUCGUGUCGUGAGAUGUUGGGUUAAGUCCCGCAACGAGCGCAACCCUUAUUUUUAGUUGCUAAUUUAUUAGGUUUUCUAGAAAGACUGCCGGUGACAAACCGGAGGAAGGUGAGGAUGACGUCAAGUCAGCAUGCCCCUUAUGCCUUGGGCUACACACGUGCUACAAUGGUUAAGACAAAGAGUUGCGAGCUCGCGAGAGUCAGCUAAUCUCAUAAACUUAGCCUAAGUUCGGAUUGUAGGCUGCAACUCGCCUACAUGAAGUCGGAAUCGCUAGUAAUCGCUGGUCAGCCAUACAGCGGUGAAUCCGUUCCCGGGCCUUGUACACACCGCCCGUCACACCAUGGGAGCUGGUCAUGCCCGAAACCGUUUGCUUAACCUUUCGGAGAGCGGCGUCUAAGGUAGGGCUAGU